RNAcentral lists this long non-coding RNA (225 nucleotides) under Mytilus galloprovincialis (Mediterranean mussel). Lineage: Eukaryota; Metazoa; Mollusca; Bivalvia; Mytilida; Mytilidae. The record is from RNAcentral.
GGGUUGUUGUUCUUCUCCCACUACGUCUUAGGGUUGGUAAUUGCACUGCCCGUGGAGGUUGAAGUUGUGCUCUUUGUGGAGGUAAUAUUAAAUUUUGUAAUGGGAAGGCAGGUGGUGCAUUAUUUAUCCUCAAAAAUGUAGGAGAGAAAGUCACAGACAAAAAGUCGCAAUUCAUGUUUUCUGGAUUAUUUUCUUAGCAUAAAAACGCUUUUUUCUUCAAUUUUU